Molecule: ribosomal RNA, 523 nt
Filed under: uncultured bacterium
Lineage: Bacteria
Description: bacterial SSU rRNA
Rfam family: Bacterial small subunit ribosomal RNA
Source: RNAcentral
UAGUCCACGCCGUAAACGAUGAUUACUCGGUAUUGGCUUCGGUCAGUGCCCAAGCGAAAGUGAUAAGUAAUCCACCUGGGGAGUACGCCCGCAAGGGUGAAACUCAAAGGAAUUGACGGGGGCCCGCACAAGCGGUGGAGCAUGUGGUUUAAUUCGAUGAUACGCGAGGAACCUUACCAGGGUUUAAAUGCAGAACGACAGGGGUGGAAACACCCCCUUCUUCGGACGAACUGCAAGGUGCUGCACGGUUGUCGUCAGCUCGUGCUGUGAAGUGUCAGGUUAAGUCCUGCAACGAGCGCAACCCCUAUUCUUAGUUGCCAGCGGUUCGGCCGGGGACUCUAAGAAGACUGCCAGCGCAAGCUGAGAGGAAGGUGGGGAUGACGUCAAAUCAUCACGGGCCCUUACGUCCUGGGGCUACACACGUGCUACAAUGGGUAGAGACAGAGGGGCAGGCCACCUGGGUGACAGGGGAGCGGAAUCCUUAAACUCUAUCUCAGUUCGGGAUCGAAGUCUGCAACUCGAC